AUGUGUUUGAGCUUCGGCUCUUCAUCCAGACGCUGUGCGCCUUCGGGCUGCACGCCGACGGAGCAUAUAUCCACCCCUGUGCACACACACGGUGGCGAGCUGGAUAACGGCUCGCCGCUGAUUUUUACACACGUCUAAAAGUCUUGUAUGUUUUAUUGAGAUACAAAAAA
RNAcentral lists this unclassified non-coding RNA (170 nucleotides) under soil metagenome. RNAcentral describes it as "partial internal transcribed spacer 1". The record is from RNAcentral.